UAUUCUUGUGAAGCAGAAUUCACCAAGUGUCGGAUUGUUCACCCGCUAAUAGGGAACGUGAGCUGGGUUUAGACCGUCGUGAGACAGGUUAGUUUUACCCUACUGAUGAAACGAUGUUGCGACAGUAAUUCAACUUAGUACGAGAGGAACCGUUGGAUCAGAUAAUUGGUUAAUACGGUUAGCUGAAAAGCUAGUGCCGUGAAGCUACCAUCUGUAGGAUUAUGACUGAACGCCUCUAAGUCAGAAUCCAUGCUGGAAAGCAACGUCUAAUCAAUAAUAAAUGAAAAAGCAUAGGUUUUACCUUAGUUCAAAUAAAUGGCUUAAGCGGCCAUCCGGAACAGGAUAGGUUCGUAAGAGCUGAAUCGUAAUUUCGAAUUAUUAUUGAUGCAAAUCGUU
RNAcentral lists this ribosomal RNA (396 nucleotides) under Bdellovibrionales bacterium. Its description in RNAcentral is "partial 23S ribosomal RNA". It matches the Rfam family "Eukaryotic large subunit ribosomal RNA", at positions 2895 to 3305 of the family's 3401-position model. The record is from RNAcentral. Lineage: Bacteria; Pseudomonadati; Bdellovibrionota; Bdellovibrionia; Bdellovibrionales.